GUAGCAAAGCUGUGAUUUUGCUCUGCCCUGACAUGCAAGUUACUCCUGAUGAAGGUUCUUCUUCAAAACUGCAAUGUCUCCAUCAAGCCUUGCAAUCCAAUACACUGCAAAAUUCAGGUCAAUCUCCAAUCUGCAACAAUUGUUAUAAUAUCUUUCAGAUGCAAUACAAAG
Coffea eugenioides is the source of this 171-nucleotide long non-coding RNA. RefSeq lists it as uncharacterized. The transcript has 3 exons. Lineage: Eukaryota; Viridiplantae; Streptophyta; Magnoliopsida; Gentianales; Rubiaceae. The record is from RefSeq and is a predicted model, not a curated record.